Molecule: long non-coding RNA, 832 nt
Organism: Pangasianodon hypophthalmus (striped catfish)
Lineage: Eukaryota; Metazoa; Chordata; Actinopteri; Siluriformes; Pangasiidae
Exons: 4
Source: RefSeq, a predicted model, not a curated record
AUUUGGCAAUAUUUUGCAGGUCUCCAGACAAAAUUUGUAUUUGACUGAUGAUAUGAACAUGGCGAUUUUUCCUGGAGUGAAUGGACUGUUCAGCACCCUCGACUUGACACCAAGGGGCCAUUAUGAAGUACAUGGCGAGUGAGUCGCGUCUGUCACCAUCUUCAUCUGCCAGUAGCUCUAGUGGCAGUCAGCGCUUCUCAUUUUUACAUAUAGCAUCCAGUAUUGCAGGUUCUUCUGUUGCAUCCCCUGUUCAGGCUAGUGCUGCACCUCCAAGGGCGAGCAUGUCCCGUUCAUUUCAGAGCCCAGCAGAACUGUAGUUGUCCGGUUUAUGAAGUUUGAAGCAACAGUCCCUGGCAUUAUGGCUAAAGUUCAAAGUGCCCUGAACAGCGAAGAGCCAUUGAUCCUUAUGGAUGCUCAGGGUAAUGAAAUAGUGGAGUAUACCCAAAGGUUCACUAUACUGGAAGCAAAAUGCUCACAAAAUACUUGCCAUUUCAGAGGAGGAAUUUCAAAGAUUUCAACAAGAGAACAAAUGAAAGAGGCCUAGUCAGAGAGAUGAUGGCAGCAGUGGCUUGCAGAAUGUGUUUGAAAGAAUUGAAGAAGUUGUGCUGGCUGCUCAAGGCCUACAAGAAGUCGCUUCAGUAAUGAAAGAGCUCUCCGACAUUAACAGUAACACGAGAAUCACACUGGUAAUGACAGACUCCCAAGCACAACAGCUACAGGGAGCAUUCAACUGUCAUGUAUGCAAAGUUUUGCACCCCAAAUCAUUAUUUUUAACACAAUCUGAUGCUUUGCAUAAAAGCUGUGAACUUUAACCAUGUGUUAAACUUUUUAU